This 253-nucleotide ribosomal RNA is filed under the name uncultured bacterium. RNAcentral's name for it is "partial 16S ribosomal RNA". It matches the Rfam family "Bacterial small subunit ribosomal RNA", at positions 524 to 776 of the family's 1533-position model. The record is from RNAcentral.
UACGUAGGGUGCAAGCGUUGUUCGGAAUUAUUGGGCGUAAAGCGCGUGUAGGUGGUUAGGUAAGUCGAUUGUGAAAUCCCUGGGCUCAACCGAGGAAGUGCAGUCGAAACUGUCUAGCUAGAGGACGGUAGAGGAAGGUGGAAUUCCUAGUGUAGAGGUGAAAUUCGUAGAUAUUAGGAGGAAUACCGGCGGCGAAGGCGGCCUUCUGGGCCGUUCCUGACACUGAGACGCGAAAGCGUGGGUAGCAAACAGG